Molecule: long non-coding RNA, 586 nt
Filed under: Olea europaea subsp. europaea
Lineage: Eukaryota; Viridiplantae; Streptophyta; Magnoliopsida; Lamiales; Oleaceae
Source: RNAcentral
AACCACUCAUUUUUCUUAAAAAACUAUUCUCCCUAUUUUCAUUUUCAUGUAAUGGGGAUCAAACCGGGGCUAAUAUUUAACUUGUAUAACUUUUUGAGUAGUUAAUGAAACAAUAAAUUAAAAAUGAAAAAUAAACCUCGACCCUAGUGACACUACAUGGAUCCAAUUCAAAUCCUUUGUACUCGCACUAUGCCUCUAACGUGUGUUUUCCGUCCAUUAUAGAUUAUUCUAUUCGAACAGGGGAGUGAUGCGCUUGUUUGAAUAGGGCUGCCUUCCAUUAUGGAUUAUUCUAUUUGAACAGGGAAGUGACGCCCUUGUUUGAGCAGGGCCGAGGCGGCCCUGUUCGAGUAGCACACCCAUCCAUUAUUACUAUUUCAUCUCGUUUUCUUACCCAUUUUUACGAUGGGAUGGCAAUUUUGAGAUGGAGAUGGAAGGAGGAAGGAUGUAAUUUAUUAAUAUUUUUGUCUUUUGCUUUUUUUUUUAAAUUAAAAAUUAUUAUAGCAAUUUAUGUUUUGUAUUACCCAACGGCAGAGACUACUAGAAGUCCAAAUGUUACCCAAAAAUAAAAAAUAAAAAUAAAAAACGG